Long non-coding RNA from Strigops habroptila (Kakapo), 981 nucleotides. NCBI's taxonomy places the organism in Eukaryota, Metazoa, Chordata, Aves, Psittaciformes, Psittacidae. The record is from Ensembl.
UUUUGUAUCAAAAAUAUCCAUUUUAUUGAACAAAAAUAUCGAUUUCAUUGAACUUGUGACACGAGGCCGCGGGAUCCAUCCGAGCGGGGGCACAUCUGGGGAGGGAGCAGCAUAACAGGGGUGUCAGUGCGCGUGUCCAUCCCUCCUCCCGCGCCCCACAAUGGUCCCUCCCAUCUCCCCCCACCCCGUGCCUCAGGUGGAACCAGUCACUCAUUGGCUCAGCCUGGGGCGGUGUCACCUCAUCCUCGGCACAGGCCCCGCCCCCUUCCCUCUAAGCCCCGCCCCCAACUCACCUCCGGCCCCGCCCUCGGCUCGUGCCACCUGUGGGAAAGCGAAGGGGGGAGGGGGGAAGGGGGGGGGGUGAGUGUCUCCCCUCCCCCAUUCCCGUCCCCUCCACCCUCAUCCCAAUUUUUCAGCCAUCCCGAGUGUUUUCAGGGCUCAAGGUGAGCUGGGUGUGAUGUCAUCACCAAAAUUGGGGCGGGGGAAUGAUGUCAUCGAUGACAUCAAACGUACCUGCUCCCAUGGGGUGUCCAGGGCCGGGCUGUGGGGACACAAAAAGGGGGGGGGGAGGUCAGGGGGGGUGCUCAGGGGGUGGGGGAGGGGCUGCAUCCCUUUACCCCCUCCCCCAGAGUCAGUGGUUGCUUCUCAGCAGCGGGUUCAGCCGAACGAGAUUCAAUUGGGGUCAUCACAAAGUGGGGGGGGACACCCCAAAACCAACCCUCCCCCUCCACCCCCACCCCGGCCCCCUCAGACCGUCCAUCGGGACGCAGCAUCCUCCUCCCCUCCCCCCGCCAGCACCAGUGGGUUCGACCUUGGGCAGGUCCUGGUGGCCGGGGGGGGGUCAGACGCGGAGGGGUUUCCUCAUCGGGGGCCGGCGGCUGCGGAGACACAGGGAUGGGGGGGCUGCGUCAGGGCUGGGUUUGGGGGGACACUGGGGGCGAGGGCAGGACCCGCACUCCCCGCGGCUGCGCGGACAAAAUG